UACGUAGGGGGCGAGCGUUGUCCGGAUUCAUUGGGCGUAAAGAGCUCGUAGGCGGCUUGGCAAGUCGGAUGUGAAAACUCCAGGCUCAACCUGGAGCCGCCAUUCGAUACUGCUAUGGCUAGAGUCCGGUAGGGGAGUGUGGAAUUCCUGGUGUAGCGGUGAAAUGCGCAGAUAUCGGGAGGAACACCGAUGGCGAAGGCAGCACUCUGGGCCGGUACUGACGCUGAGGAGCGAAAGCGUGGGGAGCGAACAGG
This 254-nucleotide ribosomal RNA is filed under the name uncultured bacterium. RNAcentral describes it as "partial 16S ribosomal RNA". It matches the Rfam family "Bacterial small subunit ribosomal RNA", at positions 524 to 776 of the family's 1533-position model. The record is from RNAcentral.